GACGAACGCUGGCGGCGUGCCUAAUACAUGCAAGUAGAACGCUGAAGGAGGAGCUUGCUUCUCUGGAUGAGUUGCGAACGGGUGAGUAACGCGUAGGUAACCUGCCCUGCAGCGGGGGAUAACUAUUGGAAACGAUAGCUAAUACCGCAUAAUAGUAGAUGUUGCAUGACAUUUGCUUAAAAGUUGCAAUUGCAUCACUACCAGAUGGACCUGCGUUGUAUUAUCUAGUUGGUGGGGUAACGGCUCAACAAGGCAACGAUACAUAGCCGACGUGAGAGGGGGGUCGGCCACCCUGGGACUGGGAAAACGGCCAGGCUCCCUCGGGGAGCAACAGUAGGGGAACAUCGGCAAUGGACGGAAGUCUGGACGAGCAACGCCGGGGGAGGGAAGGAGGUCCUCCGAUCGUAAAAGUCUGUUGUAAGGGAAGGAAGAGCGUGAGAGUGGAAAGUUCACGCUGUGACGGUAUCUUAACAGAAAGGAACGGCUAACUACGUG
Molecule: ribosomal RNA, 495 nt
Filed under: uncultured bacterium
Lineage: Bacteria
Description: partial 16S ribosomal RNA
Rfam family: Bacterial small subunit ribosomal RNA
Source: RNAcentral